GACGAACGCUGGCGGCGUGCCUAAUACAUGCAAGUUGAGCGCUGAAGGUUGGUACUUGUACCAACUGGAUGAGCAGCGCACGGGUGAGUAACGCGUGGGGAAUCUGCCUUUGAGCGGGGGACAACAUUUGGAAACGAAUGCUAAUACCGCAUAAAAACUUUAAACACAAGUUUUAAGUUUGAAAGAUGCAAUUGCAUCACUCAAAGAUGAUCCCGCGUUGUAUUAGCUAGUUGGUGAGGUAAAGGCUCACCAAGGCGAUGAUACAUAGCCGACCUGAGAGGGUGGUCGGCCAGAUUGGGACUGAGACACGGCCCAAACGCCUACGGGAGGCAGCAGUAGGGAAUCGUCGGCAAGGGGCGGAAGUCUGACCGAGCAACGCCGCGGGAGGGAAGAAGGUUGUCGGGUCGGAAAACUCUGUUGGUAGGGAAGAACGUUGGUGAGAGUGGAAAGCUCAUCAAGUGACGGUAACUACCCAGAAAGGGACGGCUAACUACGUG
This 497-nucleotide ribosomal RNA is filed under the name uncultured bacterium. RNAcentral's name for it is "partial 16S ribosomal RNA". It matches the Rfam family "Bacterial small subunit ribosomal RNA", at positions 28 to 507 of the family's 1533-position model. The record is from RNAcentral.